Molecule: ribosomal RNA, 466 nt
Filed under: Vreelandella stevensii
Lineage: Bacteria; Pseudomonadati; Pseudomonadota; Gammaproteobacteria; Oceanospirillales; Halomonadaceae
Description: partial 16S ribosomal RNA
Rfam family: Bacterial small subunit ribosomal RNA
Source: RNAcentral
CCUACGGGUGGCAGCAGUGGGGAAUAUUGGACAAUGGGGGGAACCCUGAUCCAGCCAUGCCGCGUGUGUGAAGAAGGCCCUCGGGUUGUAAAGCACUUUCAGUGAGGAAGAACGCCUGGUGGUUAAUACCCAUCAGGAAAGACAUCACUCACAGAAGAAGCACCGGCUAACAUCCGAGCCAGCAGCCGCGGUAAUACGGAGGGUGCGAGCGUUAAUCGGAAUUACUGGGCGUAAAGCGCGCGUAGGUGGCUUGAUAAGCCGGUUGUGAAAGCCCCGGGCUCAACCUGGGAACGGCAUCCGGAACUGUCAAGCUAGAGUGCAGGAGAGGAAGGUAGAAUUCCCGGUGUAGCGGUGAAAUGCGUAGAGAUCGGGAGGAAUACCAGUGGCGAAGGCGGCCUUCUAGACUGACACUGACACUGAGGUGCGAAAGCGUGGGUAGCAAACAGGAUUAGAUACCCUGGUAGUC